AUGAUGCAACCAGAAGGUUUUGUCAAUCCUAAAGGUGCUAACAAAUUGUGCAAGCUCCAGCGAUCCAUCUAUGGACUGGUGCAAGCAUCUCGAAGUUGGAAUAUAUGCUUUGAUGAGUUGAUCAAAGCAUAUGUUUUUAUACAGACUUUUGAAGAAGCCUGUAUUUACAAGAAAGUGAGUGGGAGCUCUGUAGCAUUUCUAAUAUUGUAUGUGGAUGACAUAUUGUUAAUUGGAAAUGAUAUGAAAAUUCUGGAUAGCAUGAAAGGAUACUUGAAUAAGAGUUUUUCAAAGCAAGACCUUGGUGAAGCUGCUUACACAUUGAGCAUCAAGAUCUAUAUAGAUAGAUCAAGACGCUUAAUAAGAUUUUUCAAUGAGUACAUUGAUAAAUUUUUGAAAUAA
This 399-nucleotide ribosomal RNA is filed under the name Triticum aestivum (bread wheat). Its description in RNAcentral is "partial small subunit ribosomal RNA". Lineage: Eukaryota; Viridiplantae; Streptophyta; Magnoliopsida; Poales; Poaceae. The record is from RNAcentral.